AUUGAACGCUGGCGGCAGGCCUAACACAUGCAAGUCGAGCGGAUGAAGGGAGCUUGCUCCUGGAUUCAGCGGCGGACGGGUGAGUAAUGCCUAGGAAUCUGCCUGGUAGUGGGGGAUAACGUCCGGUAACGGGCGCUAAUACCGCAUACGUCCUGAGGGAGAAAGUGGGGGAUCUUCGGACCUCACGCUAUCAGAUGAGCCUAGGUCGGAUUAGCUAGUUGGUGGGGUAAAGGCCUACCAAGGCGACGAUCCGUAACUGGUCUGAGAGGAUGAUCAGUCACACUGGAACUGAGACACGGUCCAGACUCCUACGGGAGGCAGCAGUGGGGAAUAUUGGACAAUGGGCGAAAGCCUGAUCCAGCCAUGCCGCGUGUGUGAAGGAGGUCUUCGGAUUGUAAAGCACUUUAAGUUGGGAGGAAGGGCAGUAAGUUAAUACCUUGCUGUUUUGACGUUACCAACAGAAUAAGCACCGGCUAACUUCGUG
This 484-nucleotide ribosomal RNA is filed under the name uncultured bacterium. RNAcentral describes it as "partial 16S ribosomal RNA". It matches the Rfam family "Bacterial small subunit ribosomal RNA", at positions 30 to 507 of the family's 1533-position model. The record is from RNAcentral.